This 504-nucleotide ribosomal RNA is filed under the name uncultured bacterium. Its description in RNAcentral is "bacterial SSU rRNA". It matches the Rfam family "Bacterial small subunit ribosomal RNA", at positions 30 to 528 of the family's 1533-position model. The record is from RNAcentral.
AUUGAACGCUGGCGGAAUGCUUUACACAUGCAAGUCGAACGGCAGCACGGGGGCAACCCUGGUGGCGAGUGGCGAACGGGUGAGUAAUACAUCGGAACGUGCCCAGUCGUGGGGGAUAACGUAGCGAAAGCUACGCUAAUACCGCAUACGAUCUACGGAUGAAAGCGGGGGAUCGCAAGACCUCGCGCGAUUGGAGCGGCCGAUGGCAGAUUAGGUAGUUGGUGGGGUAAAGGCUCACCAAGCCUUCGAUCUGUAGCUGGUCUGAGAGGACGACCAGCCACACUGGGACUGAGACACGGCCCAGACUCCUACGGGAGGCAGCAGUGGGGAAUUUCGGACAAUGGGCGAAAGCCUGAUCCAGCCAUUCCGCGUGCAGGAUGAAGGCCCUCGGGUUGUAAACUGCUUUUGUACGGACGAAACGGCCUUUUCUAAUACAGAGGGCUAAUGACGGUACCGUAAGAUAAGCACCGGCUAACUACGUGCCAGCAGCCGCGGUAAAGUCGA